UUGUAUUUAUUUUUAUGGGUUACACAUUAAUGCAUGUUUGAUCACAAACUGUCAACGUGUCUUAUUCUCACGCUGCUAGUCACGAUUUUAAAUGGUGAAAAGUUCUUUUAUCUCUUUAUUGUUGUACUACCAAAUCAAGGUUUGUUUUGCUUGAGAGUUAAAAUAAAAAUAAAUAAUUCAGAGAUUGAUUUGAUGGUGGGUGACAUAAUUCAGAGACCAUCUUAAUUUUUAAUGAAUAAUUCGGAGAUCAAUUUGACAAUGUAGCGAUUUGUAAUGACUUUCCU
RNAcentral lists this long non-coding RNA (284 nucleotides) under Medicago truncatula (barrel medic). RNAcentral describes it as "long non-coding RNA (MTRU_LNC008577)". Lineage: Eukaryota; Viridiplantae; Streptophyta; Magnoliopsida; Fabales; Fabaceae. The record is from RNAcentral.